GAUACAUUGUAGAGAUGGGGCUCACACUACUUACUCAAGCAUCCAUGCCGUUACGCUUCUAUUGGGAAGCCUUCAUGACAUCUACCUUAAUCAUCAAUGGAUUACCAUCCUCAGUACUCAAAGGAAAAGCCCCUGUGGAGAUGUUGAUGAAAAGAAAAUUUAAUUUUAAUGAUUUAAGCUGUUUUGGGUGUGCCUGCUACCCAUGCCUGAGGCCAUACAACUCAAAUAAAUUUCAGUUUCGAUCUGAAAAGUGUGUUUAUUUAGGGCCCAGUCCAGUACACAAAGGGCACAAAUGCCUAAAUCAAAAUGGGAGGAUUUUUAUUUCAAGGCACGUUGAAUUUGAUGAGUCUUCUUUUCCUUUUGCAGAAGGUUUUGGAUCAAGCAUUGUGUCAUCACAGUAGCUCGGCCCACCCUCAAUCUCAUAGCUUCCUAGCCCACCUUGGGCCCAGCCCACUCAUCCAAACGACCCUCUCUCCCCACCUAUGGGCCCAACUGAUACUCCUACAGCACCGCCUGUGAGCCCACUCUCUCAGCCCACUACUUCUCGUCUCCCUACCCCCAUUCCAAGCCCAAUAUCAUCCCUUAGCUUCUCACUGUCCACGUGCUUGCCCCUUCAUCUUUCACCAAACCCUAUCACCCCUCGUUCCGAUGAACACCAACCCUUCAUCUCACUCUUCCCUGCCUCAUUCGGCUACCCCUCAUAAUCCUCUCAUUCCCAGUCACCCUAUGAUCACCCGUGCAAAGGCCGGUAUAUUCAAACCCAAAGCGUGGAUGACAACCUCUAGUCCUGAUUGGACACAAACAUAACCCAUCCGCAUUUCUGAUGCUCUUGCUACCCUAGUCUGGAAAAAUGCCAUGGACCUUGAAUACCAAGCUCUCCUCAUUAAUAAGACUUGGGUCCUUGUUCCACCUCCACAAAAUGCCACUAUUGUUGGCAGCAAAUGGGUUUUUCGAAUCAAACGAAAUCCUGAUGGCUCGAGUUGUUCAAAGGGGUUUCAUCAGAGUUCUGCCAUCUAUUUUUUGAGACAUUCAGUCCCGUGGUGAAUGCGUCAACUGUUCGGGUGGUACUAUCAAUUGUUGUCUCCUGUAAUUAGGAGCUUCGCCACUUAGAUUUCAAUAACGCUUUUCUCAAUGGAAAUCUCGAAGAGGAUGUAUAUAUGGCCCAACCACCCGGCUGGGGUUUUCAAAACAGUCGGUCCGACUCAUCACUAUUUAUUCACAGGCGAGGAUCUUCCAUCACUUUACUCCUAGUAUAUGUUGAUGAUGUUAUUCUCACCGGCAACAAUCCCUUCUUGCUUGACCAUCUAACAAGAACUCUUCAUCAAAGGUUUACCCUAAAAAAUCUUGGGCAGUUUACUUAUUUUCUGGGUGUACAGGUAAUUCGAACUCCUUCAGGCCUUCUCAAUCAAUCCAUUUACAUUGAUGCCCUCUUGCACAAACUGAACAUGAGCUCACUUAAACUCGCACCCACACCAUCUGUCUUGGGCAAAAACUACUCCAAUGAUGGCACCCCUAUGGCAGACCCAUCUCUUUAUCGAAGUACUAUUGGUGCUUUACAAUACUUAACCAAUACCGACCUGACAUUACCUACAUUGUAAAUCAUCUCAGUUAAUUCCUCAAACAGCCAUCUGAUAUCCAUUGGCAAGGUGUGAAACGGAUUCUCCAUUGUCUAAGUGGUACGAAAGACAUGGACUCCCCCAUCUGAUAAUCUCAAUAUCACUGCCUUCUCUGAUGUCGAUUGGGCAUCCAACAUCGAUGAUCGGAAAUCUAUUGCUGCCUAUUGUGUCUAGUCUAUAUAGGUAAUUCUCUCAUUUUGUGGUCUUCUAAGAAACAACCCACCAUUGCCCGAUCAAGUACAAAAUUCGAGUAUCGAGCCGUUGCCCAUACAUCUGCUGAAAUAAUAUGACUCAGGAAACUGCUAUAUGAACUUGGCUUACGAAAUCAGGCAACCCCUGCUGUCUGGAGUGAUAACCUUAGCGCCGGUGCCCUUGCAACAAAUCCCAUCUUCCACGCCCGAACCAAGCAUAUUGAAAUAGAUGUACUUUUCGUUCGUGAUCAAAUCCUUCAAGGCCUUCUUCAAGUUCGGUACGUACCGUCUGCUGAUCAAAUCGCCGACUGUCUCAUGAAACCUCUAUCUCAUUCUCAGUUUGCCUACCUACGAUCCAAACUCGGGAUAACCAUGUUACCCUCUCGUUUGAGGGGGGAUAUCAAGGUAUCAGGAGAAAAGAAUUUGUGAAGAUAUUUGAAUUUCUUUGUUACCAAGUCACCCUAUCUGCGCCUACCAUGUGGCUGCUCUUGUACGAUUCUUUUAUAUAUAUAAAUUGUGUAUAAUACCCUUUUAUUUCUUAGGGUUUACCAUUCUUCUCCUAUAUAAAUAGAAAAUGGUAUCCUAACUGUAAAGUGUGCAUUUAUACAGAAUGGAAGAUUUUAAAAGAAUUGAUUGCCUCUGAAA
Long non-coding RNA from Benincasa hispida (wax gourd), 2452 nucleotides. RefSeq lists it as uncharacterized. Lineage: Eukaryota; Viridiplantae; Streptophyta; Magnoliopsida; Cucurbitales; Cucurbitaceae. The record is from RefSeq and is a predicted model, not a curated record.